GUUGGGCAUGGUGGCGGAUGCCUGUGAUCCCAGUUACUCGGAGGCUGAGGUAGAAGAAUCACUUGGACCCGGGAGACGGAGGUUGCAGUGAGCCAAGAUUGUGCCACUGCACUCCAGCCUGGGUGACAGAGUGAGAAUCUGUCUCAA
This 147-nucleotide non-coding RNA is filed under the name Gorilla gorilla gorilla (western lowland gorilla). Lineage: Eukaryota; Metazoa; Chordata; Mammalia; Primates; Hominidae. The record is from Rfam by way of RNAcentral.